UGCAGUCGAACGAUGACCUCCAGCUUGCUGGGGUGAUUAGUGGCGAACGGGUGAGUAACACGUGAGUAACCUGCCCUUAACUCUGGGAUAAGCCUGGGAAACUGGGUCUAAUACCGGAUAUGACUCCUCAUCGCAUGGUGGGGGGUGGAAAGCUUUUUGKGGUUUUGGAUGGACUCSCGGCCUAUCAGCUUGUUGGUGAGGUAAUGGCUCMCCAAGGCGACSACGGGUAGCCGGCCUGARAGGGUGACCGGCCACACUGGGACUGARACACGGCCCARACUCCUACGGGAGGCAGCAGUGGGGAAUAUUGCACAAUGGGCGCAAGCCUGAUGCAGCGACGCCGCGUGAGGGAUGACGGCCUUCGGGUUGUAAACCUCUUUCAGUAGGGAAGAAGCSAAAGUGACGGUACCUGCAGAAGAAGCGCCGGCUAACUACGUGCCAGCAGCCGCGGUAAUACGUAGGGCGCAAGCGUUAUCCGGAAUUAUUGGGCGUAAAGARCUCGUARGCGGUUUGUCGCGUCUGCCGUGAAAGUCCGGGGCUCAACUCCGGAUCUGCGGUGGGUACGGGCAGACUAGARUGAUGUAGGGGAGACUGGAAUUCCUGGUGUAGCGGUGAAAUGCGCAGAUAUCAGGAGGAACACCGAUGGCSAARGCAGGUCUCUGGGCAUUAACUGACGCUGARGARCSAAAGCMUGGGGARCSAACMGGAUUAGAUACCCUGGUARUCCAUGCCGUAAACGUUGGGCACUAGGUGUGGGGGACAUUCCACGUUUUCCGCGCCGUAGCUAACGCAUUAAGUGCCCCGCCUGGGGAGUACGGCCGCAAGGCUAAAACUCAAAGGAAUUGACGGGGGCCCGCACAAGCGGCGGAGCAUGCGGAUUAAUUCGAUGCAACGCGAAGAACCUUACCAAGGCUUGACAUGGGCCGGACCGGGCUGGAAACAGUCCUUCCCCUUUGGGGCCGGUUCACAGGUGGUGCAUGGUUGUCGUCAGCUCGUGUCGUGAGAUGUUGGGUUAAGUCCCGCAACGAGCGCAACCCUCGUUCCUGUUGCCAGCGCGUAAUGGNGGGACUCAUGGGAGACUGCCGGGUCACUCGGAGGAAGGUGGGGACAANUCAAUCAUCUGCCCCU
This 1128-nucleotide ribosomal RNA is filed under the name Arthrobacter sp. RNAcentral describes it as "partial 16S ribosomal RNA". Lineage: Bacteria; Bacillati; Actinomycetota; Actinomycetes; Micrococcales; Micrococcaceae. The record is from RNAcentral.